Molecule: ribosomal RNA, 492 nt
Filed under: uncultured bacterium
Lineage: Bacteria
Description: partial 16S ribosomal RNA
Rfam family: Bacterial small subunit ribosomal RNA
Source: RNAcentral
AGUGAACGCUGGCGGUAGGCCUAACACAUGCAAGUCGAACGGCAGCACAGUAAGAGCUUGCUCUUACGGGUGGCGAGUGGCGGACGGGUGAGGAAUACAUCGGAAUCUACUUUUUCGUGGGGGAUAACGUAGGGAAACUUACGCUAAUACCGCAUACGACCUACGGGUGAAAGCAGGGGAUCUUCGGACCUUGCGCGAUUGAAUGAGCCAAUGUCGGAUUAGCUAGUUGGCGGGGGAAAGGGCCACCAAGGCGACGAUCGGUAGCGGGUCUGAGAGGAUGAUCAGCCACACUGGAAGUGAGACACGGUCCAGACUCCUAGGGGAGGCCGCAGUGGGGAAUAUUGGGCAAUGGGGGCAAGCCGGAUCCAGCCAUACUGCGUGGGUGAAGAAGGAGUUCGGGUUGGAAAGCCCUUUUGUUGGGAAAGAAAAGCAGCAGGUUAAUACCCGGCUGUUCUGACGGUACCCGAAGAAUAAGCACCGGCUAACUUCGUG